UAAUACUCCAUAGGUCACGAGAUCUGGAAAGACUUGUGGCUCAAAGGUCAGGCGCUCUAGGAUUGGUCUGCGGCCUAUCAGGUAGUAGUGGGUGUAACGGACCCACUAGCCGAUGACGGGUAUGGGCCUUGAGAGAGGGAGCCCAGAGAUGGAUUGUGAGACACGAAUCCAGGCCCUACGGGGCGCAGCAGUCGCGAAAACUUCACAAUGGAGGCAACUCCGAUGAGGGAAUUCCUAGUGCCAAUGCAUUUUGUGUUGGCUUUUCUUCAGCGUAGAUAACUGAUGGAAUAAGGGCUGGGUAAGACGGGUGCCAGCCGCCGCGGUAAUACCCGCAGCCCAAGUGGUGGUCGAUAUUAUUGAGUCUAAAACGUUCGUAGCCGGUUCAAUAAAUCUCUGGGUAAAUCGGAGGGCUCAACCUUCCGAAUUCCGGAGCGACUGUUGAACUUGGGACCGGGAGAGGCAAGAGGUACUUCUGGGGUAGGGGUAAAAUCCUGUAAUCCUAGAAGGACCACCGGUGGCGAAGGCGUCUUGCUAGAACGGAUCCGACGGUGAGGGACGAAGCCCUGGGUCGCAAACGGGAUUAGAUACCCCGGUAGUCCAGGGUGUAAACGCUGCAGACUUGGUGU
RNAcentral lists this ribosomal RNA (626 nucleotides) under uncultured archaeon. Its description in RNAcentral is "bacterial SSU rRNA". It matches the Rfam family "Archaeal small subunit ribosomal RNA", at positions 147 to 774 of the family's 1478-position model. The record is from RNAcentral.